UUACGGUCAUAUCACGUUGGAACAUCGGUUCCUGUACGAACACCGAAGUUAAGCAACGUCGAGCAUGUUCAGUACCUAGAUAGAGGACUUCUUGGGAAUAUCAG
Molecule: non-coding RNA, 104 nt
Organism: Acanthosepion pharaonis
Lineage: Eukaryota; Metazoa; Mollusca; Cephalopoda; Sepiida; Sepiidae
Source: the annotation of a GenBank genome assembly